AAGAGACAAGGAAGCAUCCUUGUCUAGCGGCUUCAGAGGGAGCAUGACUUUGCCUGUGCCUUGAUUUUGGACUUCUACCUUCUAGAACUGUGAAACAACAAACUUCUAUUGCUUCGAGCCACCCAGUUUGGGGCACUUUGUUCGAGCAGCCUUUGAAAACUAAUAUCAACUUCGGUGUCUGCUCAGGACAGAAUGGCGACCACGGAGAAUUCUGGACGGGGCGGAGGAAGAGAUUGCUCCCUUCUGUACUUUGAGCGGCAGCAAAGGGCUAUGACCAAUGCCCUCCUGGAUGCAGAAGGAGGCACUGGCCUCAUUAUAUGCAUACACCAUGACUGCUGUCUUAAACUCCAAUACUGCUGAACAAUUCAGAAAUAGAUCCAUUAUAGGUCUGCUUUAGCCCCAGGGCUUUAACACGGGUCACUAGAAAAUCCAAGAUUGCACAGUAAUUCAAACUCUUAAGAGGGAAAGGAAAAAAAAAAUUCUCUUCAGCACUCCCGCCCGCCCAGAGUCCCUCCCUCCAGCAUCACAGGGAGCCCCUCUUCAUUUCCGUAGUGCUUUAGAAUAAAUAGCUCUUAUGUUGAACUUGAAAUCUAAAUUUUUCGCCAGCUAUUAAUUGAUAAGAGAAGCUCGUUUUACCUCUCAUGCUCUGUAGUAAGAUUACGGUGUAAAUAAACUGGGUCAGGUUUAGCAGGAUGGAGGUGAACUGUUCUCUAAUUCCCCUUAAUCUCUGGUAAAGGAAUAACUAGGAUUUGAACGUCAACAUUCAAUAAGCAAUUAUGGCACUCCUUCAAGCAUGAUCCAAAUUAGUCUGCUGUUCCCUCAAAUAGAAUCCAAAGGACCUCCAAACCGUGCUCUUCGAUUGCAACCUCCUUGUUUUGUUCUAACCGGUGAGAGGAGUCAGGAUUGCAGGAGGGAUUUGAUUUGAUUUAUAUUAAUUUUUAGAGUAUCAGGGAUCUCUUGUUUUACUUGAAACAGAUCAGGGAACGGGGUCAGUAAACAAGGGUUUUCUCGACUACUGAUCUCGACUACUGAUCAUCACUCAGCAUUUCAUGAGGCUGGCUUCUAGCUUUCACAGUGCAUUAGAAUCAUUAUCUAAUUAUUAAUCUCACCCUAGAGUUCUGAGGAGCUUAUGACACCCGUUGAAGUUAAUGAAGGCUUUUACCUGUGGAUCUGGCACUAAAUUGCUCUGAUUGACCGAGUGCCCACAAUAUGGUAGGCACUGAUAGAAUUGACAGAGGGGAAAAAGAAUUAAACGGAAGGAAAUUAAGAAGAGGAAGAAGGAGAAGGCGUCAGAGAGGAGGAGGGGCGAGAAACCAAAAGGAGAUUGUAACUUCAAAACACCUCGUUAGGAAAAUGGGGCAGUUAAGGAAGAACUCACCAAGUAAUCUGCUUAAACUUUAAUUAAUUAUUCAUUUAUAUAUAUUUAUGUGGCACACUUUCUCUAGGGAAACCAAUGUGCUUUGCAAACAUAUUAAAUAAUUAACUCCCUCAAA
This is a long non-coding RNA of Lynx canadensis (Canada lynx), 1493 nucleotides long. RefSeq lists it as uncharacterized. The record is from RefSeq and is a predicted model, not a curated record. The transcript has 2 exons. Lineage: Eukaryota; Metazoa; Chordata; Mammalia; Carnivora; Felidae.